RNAcentral lists this transfer RNA (73 nucleotides) under bacterium. RNAcentral describes it as "tRNA-Phe". It matches the Rfam family "tRNA". From Rfam's summary of the family: Transfer RNA (tRNA) molecules are approximately 80 nucleotides in length. Their secondary structure includes four short double-helical elements and three loops (D, anti-codon, and T loops). The record is from RNAcentral. RNAcentral also lists the same sequence under 1 other name.
GGGCAUAUAGCUCAGUUGGUAGAGCACGGCAUUGAAAAUGCCGGUGUCCGUGGUUCGAGUCCGCGUAUGCCCA